AGAGCGAACGCUGGCGGCAGGCCUAACACAUGCAAGUCGAACGGACCCUUCGGGGUUAGUGGCGGACGGGUGAGUAACACGUGGGAACGUGCCUUUAGGUUCGGAAUAGCUCCUGGAAACGGGUGGUAAUGCCGAAUGUGCCCUUCGGGGGAAGAUUUAUCGCCUUUAGAGCGGCCCGCGUCUGAUUAGCUAGUUGGUGAGGUAAAGGCUCACCAAGGCUACGAUCAGUAGCUGGUCUGAGAGGAUGACCAGCCACAUUGGGACUGAGACACGGCCCAAACUCCGUAGGGAGGCAGCAGGUGGGGAACUCUUGCGUCAAGUGGGACGAAAGCCGUAGACGCACGCCAGUCGACCGCGUAGAAUGAGUAGAAGGUUCUUAAGGUAUUAGUAAAACUUUCGUUACGAGUAGGACGUAUAA
RNAcentral lists this ribosomal RNA (418 nucleotides) under uncultured soil bacterium. Its description in RNAcentral is "bacterial SSU rRNA". It matches the Rfam family "Bacterial small subunit ribosomal RNA", at positions 26 to 480 of the family's 1533-position model. The record is from RNAcentral.